AACCUGGUUGAUCUUGCCAGUAGUCAUAUGCUUGUCUCAAAGAUUAAGCCAUGCAAGUGAAAGUAUAUGCAUAUUUUAUAUGUAGAAACUGCGAACGGCUCAUUAAAACAGUUAUAAUCUACUUGACAUUUUCUAUAUAAGGAUAACUACGGAAAAGCUGUAGCUAAUACUUGCUUUAGCACUCUUGAUUUAUUUCUUGAGUGUGUACUUGUUAAGCCUUAUAAGAAAGAAGUUAUUAACUUAAGGAAUUAUAACAAAGAAGUAACACGUAAUGGAUUCACUCCAUUUUUUAGUGUGUAUCAAUCGAGUUUCUGACCUAUCAGCUUUUGAUGUUAGGGUAUUGGCCUAACAUGGCUAUGACGGGUAACGGGGAAUUAGAGUUCGAUUCCGGAGAGGGAGCCUGAGAAAUAGCUACCACAUCUAAGGAAGGCAGCAGGCGCGUAAAUUACCCAAUUCUAAAGAAGAGAGGUAGUGACAAGAAAUAACAAUACAAGGCCAAUCUGGCUUUGUAAUUGGAAUGAUGGGAAUUUAAAACCUUCCCAAAAUUCAAUUGGAGGGCAAGUCUGGUGCCAGCAGCCGCGGUAAUUCCAGCUCCAAUAGCGUAUAUUAAAAUUGUUGCAGUUAAAACGCUCGUAGUUGAAUUUCAAAGAAUCGAUAUUUUAAGUAACGCUUUUAGCUUAAUCCACAUAACUGAUAUAUACUACUACGUGUAUCGACUUUGUGAGCAUUUAGCUAUUAUGUGUUCUUUUAAUUAAAAUGAUUCUUUUUAAGAUCUUUCUUUGGCUGCGGCUAUUGAAGAUCUUGUUACUUUGAGUAAAUUAGAGUGUUCAAAGCAAACAGAUAUAACCUUUUGUGUGUUUGAAUACUACAGCAUGGAAUAACAAAAUUGAACAAGUCAGAAUUUUUUGUUCUUUUUUCUUAUUUUGGCUUAGUUACGAUUAAUAGGAGUAGCUUGGGGGCAUUUGUAUUCAGAUGUCAGAGGUGAAAUUCUUAGAUUUUCUGGAGACAAACAACUGCGAAAGCAUUUGCCUAAAAUACUUCCAUUAAUCAAGAACGAAAGUUAAGGGAGUGAAGACGAUCAGAUACCGUCGUAAUCUUAACCAUAAACUAUGCCGACUAGGCUUUGGAUGAAAGAUUUAAAAAUAAGAGGUUUUUCUCUUCGGAGAAAGAACUCUUAGAUUGCUUCCUUCAGUGCCUUAUGAGAAAUCAAAGUCUUUGGGUUCUGGGGCGAGUAUUCGCGCAAGCGAGAAAGUUAAAAGAAUUGACGGAAGGGCACCACCAGGCGUGGAGCUUGCGGCUUAAUUUGACUCAACACGGGGAAACUCACUAGUUUAAGACAAGAGUAGGAUUGACAGAUUAAUAGCUCUUUCUUGAUUUCUUGGAUGGUGAUGCAUGGCCGUUUUUAGUUCGUGAAUAUGA
Plasmodium fragile is the source of this 1419-nucleotide non-coding RNA. The record is from Rfam. NCBI's taxonomy places the organism in Eukaryota, Apicomplexa, Aconoidasida, Haemosporida, Plasmodiidae.